UAUUGUUAUAGUAAUAAAUACUUUAUUCAAAAGUUCUUUAUGUUAAAAGUUAAAUAUUAAUUAAUAGAAGAUUUAUUUUUUUUCUUUGUUAAAAAAAGUUAGAUUUUUGAUAAAUUCUGGCGAAGCCUGUGCCAGCCGCCGCGGUUAUACAAGUAGGGUAAAAGUAUUUUAUUUAUAUAAUAAAUUAAAAAAUUUUAUAAAGAAAAAUGAUGAGGUAAAAUUUUUAUUUUUUUUGUAUAUAAUUAUUUUAAGAAAUUUGUUUUGAAACUAGGAUUAGAUACCCUAUUAUCUAAAAAUGAGAAAUUGGGAGUAGUUUAGGGGUUUUUAAAUCAAAAGAUUUUGGCGGUAUUUUAAGCUCUUUAGAGGAAUUUAUUCUUUAAUUGACAUAACUCAAAAAUCUUACUUGAUUUAGUAAAGUCAGUUUGUAUAUCGCUAUCAUUAAAUGAUAUUAAUGAGUUAUUGUUAGGAUUAAUGUUUUUAAGGAUGUUAGGUCAAAAUGCAGCAGAAAGUUAAGGUUGAAAUAAAUUACAUUGAUUAUUAUCGAUAAUUAUGAAAAUUUUGUAGGAUUUAAUUGUAAAUUUAAAUUAUAAUGUUUAAUUGAAUUGAGCUCUAGAAUAUGCACAUAUCGCCCGUCACUCUCACAUGUGAGAUAAGUCGUAACAUAGUAAAAGUACCGGAAGGUGUUUU
RNAcentral lists this non-coding RNA (687 nucleotides) under Ornithodoros hermsi. The record is from RNAcentral. Lineage: Eukaryota; Metazoa; Arthropoda; Arachnida; Ixodida; Argasidae.